GAGUAGACACUUCAACUAGAAUGUCUGGAAUACUCGUCGACAUGCGAUCCCAACUGUAGACGUAUAGGUCAGGUGAUGCCAUAACGCACAGUUCGCAGCUAGUCUAGUGGUUAUUUGUUGGGACAUUACUGGAAUGAGUCACGAUCAUCUGCCCUUGACCUGCUUCUAGACACCUUAUUUGGGGCGAUUUGCAUCUUGACAUGCUCCAAGAGCUAACUCACCAAGGUCGCUUACUACGCGAGUGCGCUCGUUAAAUCUACAACCUGUAGGGACAGGUAUUGAUUGCCAUUGGGGGUGGAACACAACAUAAGCCUCUUGCCCGUGGUUUGUGGCUGUAACUAUAGUGUAGGCUGCUGCUUGGUGGCUAUGUGGUAGCUGUUAGGCAAUGGCCACGUUGGUGGUGGUGGUGCUCCGUAGCAAUAGGGCUCCUCAUGUCGUUGUGUUCAGCCUCAAGGAUCGUCGACGCAAAGUCGUGUCUUGGUCUUUGUUCUCUUAUCCAAAUCCUUAAAUGUAGGGCGUUCCUCGUGGUUUAAAAUUUUUCUACCUUUGUAUCCUUUCUCCAAGGACUAAUAAAAAAACUUUAUUAAGAAAAAUGAAAUGACAGUGCGUGUGAGAAAUUCAAUGUUAUAAACAUUUCCAAAAACCAAUUGCGAGGGUCUUCUUCGAGUGUUUGAAUCACGCUAUCAAUGAAAACACCAAUUUGUGGUAGCAAAAAUCUUCCGUCUUCAAUCUUGACGAAUUUGUACCUACAAAACAAUCAACCCUUUUAAUCAAAGACCAAAGUCUCACACGCCCACGAGGUGAGGGAUUUGGCCAUGGAUUUUCGAUGCCUAAGUUAGUUUAUCUGAAAAGAGUAAGUGUUAAGGGAUUUUAGGGGUAGCCAAUGCUUACCAAAAUUUGGUGAAGAUGGAGGUAUUUAUAGGGAGGUGGCCAUAGGCUUAGGAUUUUGACUUACACAUGGCGGCUUUUCUUUGGCCAAGGUGUGUCAUCGGUAGGAUGGAUGAGAAAAGAAUAUUCCCAAUAUAUUAAUUAGGAGAAAAUAUCUUGAGAUAAUGGUGGAAGUAUCCUAAGAGCACUUCCAGCGUGGGAACCCCCCCAGGCAAUACACUAUGCUAUCCACCCAAUGAACAGUAACUACCCUUAAUGAACAAUAACCGCUUUUUGCAUCACCACCGUUGCACUUCAAUAACCCUGGCAAUAGGUAAAAAAAUAUUAGUAUUUUUUAUUUAUAAAAUAAUACAAAAUAAUUUAAUUUUUAAUUUCGAAUAAGAUUUUUAAUCGUUCUUGUUACGUCACAUGUCAUUAUUCGACUGAUGCGAAAAUUAACUUAACACACAAAUUAAACCCUCUUUUGACAAUUGUAGUAUAAGUAUAAGUAUAAGUAGGGAUUGUUCUGGACCGGGGAUUAGGAGGGCUUGCUAAUAACCUCUAAACUGGCUUAAAAACAUAUAAACAAAGUUAAAAACACUAAACUAGACUCAAAGAACUCAAAACAAGCUAAAAACACUCAAAUCUGCCUAAAAACACAAACUGGGUAGAUUUGGACUCUAAACACACUUUUGGACGAAUUUUGGUUUCAACUUAGUUCGAAAUACUUAAAAACACAAACUAAAUCAGUUUCUAACUAAUAUGACUCAACAAGGUAAAGGGGGUUUUGGUUUUGAUGAAUUUGACAAAACAAGUAAAUUAAAGAACUAACGAAAUCUGCACGAAUUUGAGUAAAUUGAAUGGAUGGAAUGCUAGCUAGGAGGUUCUUCUCCACACAUGACACACUUGCAAACAAAACGAUUUCCAGUUGCUUUUCAAUAAACUACGAAUUCUCAACACCCCAGAUUAACUGUGAAUUGCACUAAUUAACCCUCAGAUUUUCCUAAUUUCAUUGAAUUGGAUGAUUGCAUACAACAACCCAAAGCAUUCCCCACAAGUUCCCUACAUGAAUUGCAUAAUAGAGAUACAAGCAAGAAUCAUUAAGUUCUAUGAAAAUCAUAAGCAUUGACGAAACACUUGUAACUAUGAAUUGCAUGAAACUUAUGCCAAGAAUUUACUUAACACGGUUGUGACGAGUAACCUUCACUACUUGUGAAUAUAAGUUCAUAACGAUUAGGUGAAACUCCCUUAUAUCUUAGCAUCAGAUUUAUGCAUGAAAAUUAAGCGUGCACUCUCAACCAACAUACACAAAUCAGUUUUAAUUCAAAUGGAUAAGAAAAUUGAAUUCACAACUUAUGAAUCACAACUGAAAGUAAUCAAAUCAUAUUGCAAGCAUGAACAUGGUUUCGAAUUCCCCCCUAGCUAAGGGGGGUUUAGUUCCUCAUACUCACAAAGCAAAGAUAAACAAAUUUAGACAUUGAAAAUAAAAGAAUGAAAACACCUAAAAACGCUCCAACAAUCCAACUUGAAUGGCAAGCACGUCCAAGGGUCCUCCUUCUUCUCUUUGUUGUGGCACAAGUGUCUAGGAUGUGUAUGGAUAUAUGGAAAGGUUAGGAAUGUAUUUAGGAUUGGUGAAUGUCUCGGCCAAGGGAAGGAAAAUAUAUUUGUGUUUGUGAAAUGUGGGAUUUAUGGAUGUAUGGAUGGAAUGGAUCUCAUGGCAUGGAAAAUGGAAGUGUAUGGAGAUGUGUUUGAAUGUAUGGAUGAAAUGGAAUGGAGCUCACGGCAAGGGACUUGUGUUUGUGAAUGAAGCUUUUCUUUUUAUGGAUCAAGAUUGAUUUUAGGAAGGGGAAUGGUGAAUGUAUUUAUAGGCUAAGGAGAUGACCACUUUGAAGGAUGAUUUUGUGAAAACAUGUUCAUUUGAGCAACAUCAAUAGCAUGCAAUUAACAAUUAAAGGCGGAAACAUGCUUGCAUGCACUCAAAAACAAAAACAUUACCCAUGAAAUUCAAAGCCUAGUAGAUUGGUGAACCAAGACUCAACUCAAAACAAAGUGAGUUGAGAUUUAUACCUUUGUAGAUUCCUCUUUGCAUAAGCAAAGGCUAAUCACCCAAAGAGAGGGCCUUCAUUCCUUGCAUCUUAGACCCAUGGAUUUGGAUGGAUGAAAUGGUUCUUCAAGUUCUCAAAAUAGAGAACCUCUAAGUCUCCACACCAAGGUUAGAUUGGAGAAGAAAUGAGUGACCUUGGAGGAGUGGGAUUGUUAGCUAAUCCCUCCAAGGGGGCCGGCCUCUUUAGAGAGAAAUGAGAGCUUUGUGUUCUCUCCAAUUUCCUACAAGAAACCCUUAAUGAAUUUUAGGCUAUAAAGUUCUUUAUAUAGUCACUUCUUUAAAUGACCUAAAGAACCAAAAACCCUAAUUCAACACACAUGGCCGGCCACAUAAGGGAUUUGGGCUUUUGGGCCUUUGUGAAUCUUUAUUCAUUAAAUUGUCAUACAACUUAAGCCAAUGGGCUUGAUGUUCGAAGCCCAUUGGGCCUUAAGGUCCAAAACUAUCCCGAGGUCUUUAACGAACUUAUUCGUUUGAUUAAUUACCAUAUUAAUUAAUCCUUGCCAUAAAUAAUUAAACCAUUUAAUUAUUCUUACUCAUCUCCAUUGUUUGUUCAAUCUCCACCUUACACGGUGUACAAUCCAUUAGAUUCCUUUUAGCGAGGCAGUGAGCGAUUAAAACUCUUUCAAAUCGAUUGUGAAUUGAAACUUACUUUCAAUUAUCCCUUUAGUGUUUAUACACGUUUAGGGCUUCCACAAACCAUGAGUGACACCUAGCAGCAUAUCAUGGUUACCCAAGCUAAUCAGAAGAGGUAGAGAACCUAUUCAGUUUAGGAUUACAAAUGCAAUACGGUCUUUCUCUAAUACAAUACUCUUGACCACAUUGUUUGGUUUGAUAGUUUAUUCAUGUCUACUAUCCAAUGUGAUUCGUGUGCUCAUAUGAUUACCUUGAAUGUGAUUUGGAACGACUUUCCUAAAUCUCAUUCAUACUCUGGCCAGAGAUUCUUAAUCAUAUCAAAGAGUAUUCUCCCUCAAACGGUUUGAAGGUUAGAGAUCCCUUGUUGCGCAUUCACUUGCCUCCAUAGCUA
Molecule: long non-coding RNA, 3995 nt
Filed under: Malus domestica (apple)
Lineage: Eukaryota; Viridiplantae; Streptophyta; Magnoliopsida; Rosales; Rosaceae
Description: long non-coding RNA (MDOM_LNC017050)
Source: RNAcentral